RNAcentral lists this ribosomal RNA (502 nucleotides) under uncultured bacterium. RNAcentral describes it as "partial 16S ribosomal RNA". It matches the Rfam family "Bacterial small subunit ribosomal RNA", at positions 28 to 507 of the family's 1533-position model. The record is from RNAcentral.
GACGAACGCUGGCGGCGUGCUUAACACAUGCAAGUCGAACGGUGAAGGGGUCUGCUUUUGUGGGCCCUGGAUGAGUGGCGCACGGGUGAGUAACACGUGAGUAACCUGCCCCCUUCUUCUGGAUAACCGCAUGAAAGUGUGGCUAAUACGGGAUAUUCUGGGUCUGUCGCAUGAUGGGUCUGGGAAAGAUUGCGCCUUUGGGUGUUUUUGGUGGGGGAUGGGCUCGCGGCCUAUCAGCUUGUUGGUGGGGUGAUGGCCUACCAAGGCGGUGACGGGUAGCCGGCCGGAGAGGGUGGACGGUCACACUGGGACUGAGACACGGCCCAGACUCGUACGGGAGGCAGCAGUGGGGAAGAUUGCACAAUGGGCGCAAGCCUGAUGCAGCGACGCCGCGUGAGGGAUGGAGGCCUUCGGGGUGUAAACCUCUUUCGCCAGUGAAGCAGGCCUGCUACUUGUGGGUGGGUUGACGGUAGCUGGAUAAGAAGCGCCGGCUAACUACGUG